Molecule: long non-coding RNA, 1223 nt
Organism: Canis lupus familiaris (dog)
Lineage: Eukaryota; Metazoa; Chordata; Mammalia; Carnivora; Canidae
Exons: 4
Source: RefSeq, a predicted model, not a curated record
ACCUUUCAAGUGAAGCAAUUAUGGAAAUAAGACAUCCAGAUGCGUAGUAAUUUCAUAAUAACUACACACCCAUGUAGUGCCAGAGAAGGCCUCAAGGUUUCAAACCCGCUUAAGUAUGCAGUGAUGCCAAUUAGGGCGAUAACUUGUAUUUAUGUGGCGCCAUCCUGCCCCACCAGCCUAAACUAGUGCAUCAAGGCAUACAAUUAACAGUCACAUAUAAGGAGUGACAAUAUUGGGAACACCAAGGAUCUUUUCAGAAGGGAAUACGGGCAGAAGAAACCUUAAGGGCACAUGGCUUUUCUCUUCCCAUGGAACAAGCUCUCCCAGUGAGUCACAGCUGACCGGGAGGGCAGAAUGAAGCUCUGGCGUCUUCCUUCCUCAAGUCUUCUAGAAAGAGGGGUGACACUGACAGAGAUGAAGACUUGGCAUAUCUGAGCCUGGGGCUGGGAAGGAUGAGUGAUGGUGUUUUGAGAGUGUCAGAUAAAUGGAAUCCUAUUCUUGACACUGGCUUCUUUGAUUCAGCACAACGUCUCUGAAAUCCAACCAAGUUAUGGUUCAACACAAGCUUCAAAAGGCGCCUGCUACCUGGUACCUCAGAGACACAUGCUCCUUCCACCUUCUGGCUCCAACUGUCCCAUGGGUGGGUCUCAGAGCCCUCUGUAUCCAGCUGGCAAAUGGGCAAAGAGAGGAAAAGGCAGCUUUGCCUCCUAAGGAAACUCAACCCAGAAUCUCACAUAUAUGUGUUCCCACAAGCAGCUAGAAUCUGAAUGCAAGGGAUGCUGGGGCCACCACAGAGGGGCCCUGUCCCCUUAUGUUCCCUGUGCCCAACUGCUCAUUGGCUCUACUGUGACUUCCCAUAUUUUUCUAUAAAGGAAAGAGGAUCACUCAAAGAACAUCAGGUCCUAUGAAUAUGAGAUUGAGAUGUGACAGUCAUCGGGAUGUGUCAGACACACAGACAAGGCCCGGAGCUGCCUGGCAGGAAUAUAUUUGAUUUGUUAUCGUCAGAUGUAUAUUGUCUAGUGUCCUGUCUCUUGCUCAUCUCUCUUUUCUCUGAAUUGUCAGUGAUUCUGACUAUUCUUUUCUGAUGUGAUCAUUCCUACAGCUCUAGGGAUGUGGCAGCAUUAUAAAUCAUAACAUCAGCAACUAUAUCCUUUAUGUCUCCACUAUUUAUUAAUUGUAGACCAAGCAGAUUUAAAACUCCAUGCCAUACAAGCCGGUGCAAA